CAGCAGCCGCGGUAAUGCGAAGGGUGCAAGCGUUAAUCGGAAUUACUGGGCGUAAGGCGUGCGUAGGCGGUUUGUUAAGUCUGUUGUGAAAUCCCCGGGCUCAACCUGGGAAUGGCAAUGUAUACUGGCAAGCUAGAGUGUGUCAGAGGAUGGUGGAAUUCCCGGUGUAGCGGUGAAAUGCGUAGAGAUCGGGAGGAACAUCAGUGGCGAAGGCGGCCAUCUGGGACAACACUGACGCUGAGGCACGAAAGCGUGGGGAGCAAACAGGAUUAGAUACCCCCGUAGUCCCUGUCUCUUAUAC
Molecule: ribosomal RNA, 301 nt
Filed under: uncultured bacterium
Lineage: Bacteria
Description: partial 16S ribosomal RNA
Rfam family: Bacterial small subunit ribosomal RNA
Source: RNAcentral